UACGGGGGGGGCAAGCGUUGUUCGGAAUUACUGGGCGUAAAGGGCUCGUAGGCGGCCAACUAAGUCAAACGUGAAAUCCCUCGGCUUAACCGGGGAACUGCGUCUGAUACUGGAUGGCUUGAGUUUGGGAGAGGGAUGCGGAAUUCCAGGUGUAGCGGUGAAAUGCGUAGAUAUCUGGAGGAACACCGGUGGCGAAGGCGGCUCUCUGGGACGGUACUGACGCUGAGACGCGAAAGCGUGGGGAGCGAACAGG
This 253-nucleotide ribosomal RNA is filed under the name uncultured bacterium. RNAcentral describes it as "partial 16S ribosomal RNA". It matches the Rfam family "Bacterial small subunit ribosomal RNA", at positions 524 to 776 of the family's 1533-position model. The record is from RNAcentral.